This 303-nucleotide long non-coding RNA is filed under the name Panax ginseng (ginseng). RNAcentral's name for it is "long non-coding RNA (PGIN_LNC003924)". The record is from RNAcentral. Lineage: Eukaryota; Viridiplantae; Streptophyta; Magnoliopsida; Apiales; Araliaceae.
UUUCUUUCCUACUUUGUUUGUCAAUAUAUUGGAUUUUAUUGCUUUGCAGAUUCGAAAUGGAAACCAUGAGAAGGUUGACUCUAUUAUGUGUUUCGUCUCUAUCUCUGUGUUGCUAUGGUCUUUCUUAAUGUGAUAUCUUACGAAAUUUCCAAGAUUUAUGAAGCAAAUUAAAUAUUCGAUCACCAAGCCCAAUUAGUAUAUAUACAAAUUGACAAGAGAGAAAUAAAGAAAUAGAGCGCGUCUAGCUAGUAUAUACGCGCAGUCAUCUAUUGACGAAUGACUUGAUAUGAGAGAUAAUCUUUG